AUGUCAGUAACACGUGGACAACCUGCCCUUAGGUUGGGUAUAAACCCGGGAAACUGGGUAUAAUACCCGAUAGGUCUCGAUUGCUGGAAUGCAUCGAGAUUUAAAGCUCCGGCGCCUAAGGAUGGGUCUGCGGCCUAUCAGGUAGUAGUGGGUGUAGCGUACCUACUAGCCUACGACGGGUACGGGUUGUGAGAGCAAGAGCCCGGAGAUGGAUUCUGAGACACGAAUCCAGGCCCUACGGGGUGCAGCAGGCGCGAAAACUUUACAAUGCUGGCAACAGCGAUAAGGGAACCUCGAGUGCCAGGUUACAAAUCUGGCUGUCGAGAUGCCUAAAAAGCAUUUCAUAGCAAGGGCCGGGCAAGACCGGUGCCAGCCGCCGCGGUAACACCGGCGGCUCGAGUGGUAACCGUUAUUAUUGGGUCUAAAGGGUCUGUAGCCGGCCGGAUAAGUCUCUUGAGAAAUCUGGCAGCUUAACUGUCAGGCUUUCAGGAGAUACUGUCUGGCUCGAGGCCGGGAGAGGUGAGAGGUACUUCAGGGGUAGGGGUGAAAUCUUGUAAUCCUUGAAGGACCACCAGUGGCGAAGGCGUCUCACCAGAACGGGCCUGACGGCAAGGGACGAAAGCUAGGGGCACGAACCGGAUUAGAUACCCGGAUAGUCCUAGCCGUAAACGAUACUCGCUAGGUGUCGGCCACGGUGCGACCGUUGUCGGUGCCGUAGGGAAGCCGUGAAGCGAGCCACCUGGGAAGUACGGCCGCAAGGCUGAAACUUAAAGGAAUUGGCGGGGGAGCAC
This 791-nucleotide ribosomal RNA is filed under the name Methanosaeta sp. enrichment culture clone A22132. RNAcentral describes it as "bacterial SSU rRNA". It matches the Rfam family "Archaeal small subunit ribosomal RNA", at positions 83 to 879 of the family's 1478-position model. The record is from RNAcentral. Lineage: Archaea; Methanobacteriati; Methanobacteriota; Methanomicrobia; Methanotrichales; Methanotrichaceae.